This is a long non-coding RNA of Dendrobium catenatum, 290 nucleotides long. RefSeq lists it as uncharacterized. Lineage: Eukaryota; Viridiplantae; Streptophyta; Magnoliopsida; Asparagales; Orchidaceae. The transcript is spliced from 3 exons. The record is from RefSeq and is a predicted model, not a curated record.
CAGGUUGAUGGAAGUUGGAAAGUCGGAAGCAGUAACCUGAUUGAACUUAGCCAAAGGGUCAAUGAUCUGGUCGGAGGGCUGGACGAAUUUGAUAUCAGCCAUGUUCCAAGGGAGUACAACACUGAAGCCGAUGAAGAAGCAAACAAGGCCGCCUACGGCUGAGGUGGGGUAAAGCUUUCAUGGAGUCUCCAUUAGCAGAGCAACAAUAACAGGAUUCACUUGUUAAUACCAUACUACUACUUUGUUAAUACUUCUCUAUCCCAUAUAGGGGCUGUUUGGUUGUCUGAAAA